CUGAGUAUGAGAAAGUGUCGUUAUUUAUUCAUUUGCCAUUAAUUUAUUUGUUUUAAAGAAUGUAAGUUUAUCUUGUUGAGAAACACAGAGGAAAGGUAUUUGAGGGAAGGUUGGCUUCACAUUGUCCCUCAGUUAACAUGAACAGUCACCAUAACAGUCAAGCAAGACUACUUCUUAGAUGUAAAUAAAAUCCUAAGCUGCUUUUCAAGUUCCCAUAGUAGGUGGCUGAAUCUAAAUGUGAGGAAAGCGUGGACCACAUUCAGGUGGGGAAGUUCAGGUGAUUUGAAAGCACAGACCACAAAUCUACUCAUGAGAUCCUGAUGCCUCUAGUUUUUGAAGCAGCUCAAGAGGACAUGUAUAGCAAGGUCCAGAAAUGUCCAGAAAUAAUUCUGAUUUUAUUGUCUCUUUUCAUCUUUCUGACUAAAAUUAGCAAGUAUGACCAAGGUUUAUGCUGAUGACCUCAGCAUAAAUCCUCAAAGGUUGCCACAAUUGGAAGAAAACAUUUCUAAGUUGACAGUUGUCCUGUGUCCCUCGUUCCUUCCUGUGGCACUUUCUUGUGCUCAGUCAUGGUUUGUUCUAACUGCUGCUAAUUCCUCAUAAUUCUAUAAAGUUUUUCUUCAGCAACAGACUACUAGACCCUGGUCACCAUGUCCCUAUGCUGUCAUUGUCCAAAUGCAGUCAAAAUUGCGAAGGAGAAACGAGAUGCCCUGUGGAUCAUCCAAGUGCCAAGUCUAUUCUUCCCUGACUCACUGUGAUAGACCAUCGCCGUCUCCUCCUUAUGAUCAUGUUCAUAUACCCUACUGGGGUGCUGAUUCCUCUUUUGCCUGCUGGUCCCUUGGCGAAGGACCCUGGAGUGACUGGGUGUAGUAUCUUAAAGCAGAAGCCAGAUUUCAUCGGCUUGGGGGAAAAGGAUCACAUCUUUUAUUCUCCCCAGCUGAAUUGCCUGAGAUGGUCAUUUUGUCUUCCCUCUUUCUCUUUCCCCAGCCUCAAUGUUCUUAGCAAAUAAUGAAGAAGGACUUCUGGUAAGAUUUCUAGUGACCUGGCAAAGCUAGUUGGCAGGCAGGGUAUGUAAUCACUACAGGAAAGUUGAUUCUGUUAGGAUAAAAUGUCAGCCUGAAUUUCAACAGUGCUGGGGAAUCUUUCAUAUCAAUGGUCUCUAUUUCUAUACAAAACUGAAAGAGAAAAGGUAGAGAAUACCACUGCUUCUAUUAUCCAGGGUGAAUUUAUUUAAUUUGGCAUUUUAAUAAUUAUAUGACAUACACUAGGACAAAAAAUGGCUCCCUUUUCUUGGUUUCUCCCAGAUAAGAAUUUUGAGCACAUUAUCAGAGAAAUGUCUGCUUAUUCUUCAAGUCUUUACAUAGACCAUUUUAAUACAGUGGUUCUCAGUAGAGCUAUGCAUCAGAAUUACCUGUAGAUGUUUUAAUGUUAGCAUAAUUUCCAAGGCUACAUCUUAGACAAAAAUAAGAAGGCCCAGAACAACAGGAAAACAUUUUUUAAGUAAAGAAGUAGCAUGAUCAGAUUUUGUUUUAAAAAGUCAAUUUUGUUAGCCACGUGAAAGAUAAGCUAUAAUGGUGAGAAACAAGAGAGAAUCCAAUUAGGGGAGUGUUUUAGUAAUGCAAGUGAGGUACGAUGUGCAGAUGAAAUAAGGAAAUGUGAUUGGAGACAGACAAGAGAAGGUGGAUUUGAAAGGGAAACAAUAUGUUUUGGUAACUUAAAUGAUGAGAGGAAAUAAGUAGUGGGAUAUACAUAAUGUAUGUAUAUGUGUGUGUUCGUGUAUAUAUACAUAUUUGUAUAUAUAUACAUAUUUACAUAUAUAAAGGCAUAUGUAUGUGUGUGUGUGUAUGUGUGUAUACCAGGAUAAUUCUUGGUCCUGUUGUGAUAACCAGUAGAAACAUAUCUCUUCUCCACUGUCUCACUAUCUUCAUCGAACUGUAAGGAAGAAAAUUUCUUCUAAAACAUGCUCUUCCCUCUUUUUCCAGAAGGUAGGGAGUGUGAUAAGAUUUUCAUGGCCUUAUGCAAUUUGUAAAGAAGAAAGAAACAACUGGAGAGGUUCCUG
Callithrix jacchus (white-tufted-ear marmoset) is the source of this 2056-nucleotide long non-coding RNA. Lineage: Eukaryota; Metazoa; Chordata; Mammalia; Primates; Cebidae. The record is from Ensembl.